This 253-nucleotide ribosomal RNA is filed under the name uncultured bacterium. RNAcentral describes it as "partial 16S ribosomal RNA". It matches the Rfam family "Bacterial small subunit ribosomal RNA", at positions 524 to 776 of the family's 1533-position model. The record is from RNAcentral.
UACGAAGGGGGCUAGCGUUGCUCGGAAUCAUUGGGCGUAAAGCGCGUGUAGGCGGUCCGGUAAGUCCGCUGUGAAAGUCGGGGGCUCAACCCUCGGAUGCCGGUGGAUACUGUCGGGCUUGAGUACGGAAGAGGCGAGUGGAAUUCCUGGUGUAGCGGUGAAAUGCGCAGAUAUCAGGAGGAACACCAAUUGCGAAGGCAGCUCGCUGGGACGUUACUGACGCUGAGACGCGAAAGCGUGGGGAGCAAACAGG